Molecule: ribosomal RNA, 757 nt
Filed under: uncultured bacterium
Lineage: Bacteria
Description: bacterial SSU rRNA
Rfam family: Bacterial small subunit ribosomal RNA
Source: RNAcentral
AGAGUUUGAUCAUGGCUCAGAAUCAACGCUGGCGGCGUGCCUAACACAUGCAAGUCGAACGAGAAAGGGUAGCAAUACCUGAGUAAAGUGGCGCACGGGUGAGUAACACGUGACUAACCUACCCUGGAGUGGGGGGAUAACUGAGGGAAACCUUAGCUAAUACCGCAUAAUACCUACGGGUCAAAGGAGCAAUUCGCUUCAGGAGGGGGUCGCGGCCGAUUAGUUAGUUGGCGGGGUAAUGGCCCACCAAGACAGUGAUCGGUAUCCGGCCUGAGAGGGCGCACGGACACACUGGAACUGAAACACGGUCCAGACUCCUACGGGAGGCAGCAGUGGGGAAUUUUGCGCAAUGGGGGAAACCCUGACGCAGCAACGCCGCGUGGAGGAUGAAGUCCUUCGGGACGUAAACUCCUUUCGAUCGGGACGAUUAUGACGGUACCGGAAGAAGAAGCCCCGGCUAACUUCGUGCCAGCAGCCGCGGUAAUACGAGGGGGGCGAGCGUUGUUCGGAAUUAUUGGGCGUAAAGGGUGCGUAGGCGGUUUUGUAAGUCUUAUGUGAAAUCUAUGGGCUCAACUCAUAGACUGCAUGAGAAACUGCAGGGCUUGAGUAUGGGAGAGGUGAGUGGAAUUCCUGGUGUAGCGGUGAAAUGCGUAGAUAUCAGGAGGAACACCUGUGGCGAAAGCGGCUCACUGGACCAUAACUGACGCUGAUGCACGAAAGCUAGGGGAGCAAACAGGAUUAGAUACCCUAGUAGUCC